This 468-nucleotide ribosomal RNA is filed under the name uncultured bacterium. RNAcentral's name for it is "partial 16S ribosomal RNA". It matches the Rfam family "Bacterial small subunit ribosomal RNA", at positions 28 to 507 of the family's 1533-position model. The record is from RNAcentral.
GACGAACGCUGGCGGCGUGCUUAACACAUGCAAGUCGAACGGAAAGGCCCUGCUUUUGUGGGGUGCUCGAGUGGCGAACGGGUGAGUAACCCGUGAGUAACCUGCCCUUGACUUUGGGAUAACUUCAGGAAACUGGGGCUAAUACCGGAUAGGAGCUCCUGCUGCAUGGUGGGGGUUGGACAGUUUCGGCGGUUGGGGAUGGACUGGCGGCUGAUCAGCUUGUUGGUGGGGUAGUGGCUUAGCAAGGCUUUGACGGGUAGACGGGCUGAGAGGGUCGCCGGACACAUUGGGUCUGGGCUGCGGCCCGGACCACUACGGGAGGCAGGGGAGGAGUAUAGUGUCUUGCGGGAGGAAGGAUGGUCUAACAAAGCCGCGUCCGGGAAGACGGGCAUCGCGUUGUAUUCCGAAUUCGUUUGUCACGAGGCGAUAGUGACGGUAAUGGGUAAAGAAGCACCGGCUAACUACGUG